Molecule: ribosomal RNA, 440 nt
Filed under: uncultured bacterium
Lineage: Bacteria
Description: partial 16S ribosomal RNA
Rfam family: Bacterial small subunit ribosomal RNA
Source: RNAcentral
CCUACGGGUGGCAGCAGUGGGGAAUAUUGCACAAUGGGGGAAACCCUGACGCAGCGACGCCGCGUGAGUGAAGAAGUAUUUCGGUAUGUAAAGCUCUAUCAGUAGGGAAGAAAAUGCCGGUAACUGAUUAAGAAGCUCCGGACAACAACGUGCCAGCAGCCGCGGUAAUACGUAGGGGGCAAGCGUUAUCCGGAUUUACUGGGUGAAAAGGGAGCGUAGACGGGAUCACAAGUCUGGAGUGAAAUGCCGGGGCUUAACCCCGGAACUGCUUUGGAAACUGUGCAGCUAGAGUGCAGAAGAGGUAAGUGGAAUUCCUAGUGUAGCGGUGAAAUGCGUAGAUAUUAGGAGGAACACCAGUGGCGAAGGCGGCUUACUGGACUGUAACUGACGUUGAUGCUCGAAAGCGUGGGGAGCAAACAGGAUUAGAUACCCCUGUAGUC